Molecule: microRNA precursor, 196 nt
Filed under: Dichanthelium oligosanthes
Lineage: Eukaryota; Viridiplantae; Streptophyta; Magnoliopsida; Poales; Poaceae
Description: MIR1435 microRNA precursor family
Rfam family: MIR1435 microRNA precursor family
Source: Rfam by way of RNAcentral
UUGAUUUGUCCUAAGUCAAACUUGUUCAACUUUGACAAAAUUUAUAGAAAAUAUAACAACAAUUAUACUAUCCAUCGUAUGCCUAUCAAAACAUAUUCUAUGAUGGAUUCAACCAAACAAUUUUGGUAUUGUAAAUGUUGUAUAUUUUUCUAUAAAUUUGAUUAAAAUGGAUAAGUUUGACUUAGGACAAAUCUAA